Molecule: ribosomal RNA, 383 nt
Filed under: uncultured eukaryote
Lineage: Eukaryota
Description: SSU rRNA
Rfam family: Eukaryotic small subunit ribosomal RNA
Source: RNAcentral
AGCUCCAAUAGCGUAUAUUUAAGUUGUUGCAGUUAAAAAGCUCGUAGUCGGAUUUCGGGCGUCGGCUCCGCCGGUCCGCCCUCUGGGUGUGCACUGGCGCGAGCCCGCCUUGCUGCCGGGGACGGGCUCCUGGGCUUCACUGUCCGGGACCCGGAGUCGGCGUGGUUACUUUGAGUAAAUUAGAGUGUUCAAAGCAGGCCUACGCUCUGAAUACGUUAGCAUGGAAUGACACGAUAGGACUCUGGCCUAUUCUGUCGGUCUGUGGGACCGGAGUAAUGAUUAAGAGGGACGGUCGGGGGCAUUCGUAUUUCGAUGUCAGAGGUGAAAUUCUUGGAUUUUCGAAAGACGAACUUCUGCGAAAGCAUUUGCCAAGGACGUUUUCA